This 758-nucleotide ribosomal RNA is filed under the name Aspergillus ochraceus. RNAcentral describes it as "eukaryotic LSU rRNA". The stretch from base 408 to 561 matches the Rfam family "5.8S ribosomal RNA". The record is from RNAcentral. Lineage: Eukaryota; Fungi; Ascomycota; Eurotiomycetes; Eurotiales; Aspergillaceae.
UUUAAACGUCCCCUUGCCCCUUUUUGGUAACAACACCCGGCCCCCGUUCGGCUUAACUUACCCCGAAUUUGGGAAUGGGCUUCGGGGUGAGGGCCCUUUUCGGGAACUGGGCUUCAGGGGGAGGUUUGGCAAACGACCCCCCCCAGAGCCGGGAAAGGUUGGUCAAAACCCGGUCAUUUAGAGGAAGUUAAAAGUCGUAACAAGGUUUCCGUAGGUGAACCUGCGGAAGGAUCAUUACUGAGUGAGGGUCCCUCGGGGCCCAACCUCCCACCCGUGUAUACCGUACCUUGUUGCUUCGGCGAGCCCGCCCCCUUUUUCUUUUAGGGGGCACAGCGCUCGCCGGAGACACCAACGUGAACACUGUCUGAAGUUUUGUCGUCUGAGUCGAUUGUAUCGCAAUCAGUUAAAACUUUCAACAAUGGAUCUCUUGGUUCCGGCAUCGAUGAAGAACGCAGCGAAAUGCGAUAAUUAAUGUGAAUUGCAGAAUUCAGUGAAUCAUCGAGUCUUUGAACGCACAUUGCACCCCNUGGUAUUCCGGGGGGUAUGCCUGUCCGAGCGUCAUUGCUGCCCUCAAGCACGGCUUGUGUGUUGGGUCGUCGUCCCCCCCCAGGGGGACGGGCCCGAAAGGCAGCGGCGGCACCGCGUCCGGUCCUCGAGCGUAUGGGGCUUUGUCACCCGCUCUUGUAGGCCCGGCCGGCUGCUGGCCGACGCUGAAAAGCAACCGAACUAUUUAAUCCAGGUUGACCUCGAUUCAGGUA